Molecule: small RNA, 439 nt
Filed under: Arabidopsis thaliana (thale cress)
Lineage: Eukaryota; Viridiplantae; Streptophyta; Magnoliopsida; Brassicales; Brassicaceae
Description: ATSL030050
Source: RNAcentral
AUAUAACUUAAAGAAACGUAACAAGGAUGUGGUUUGAUGGUGGUAUUUUUAAUCGUAUCAAUUUGAAUCAAGUUCUCGAAGAUAUAAAUUGAAGUCUUUCAGUCUGGGAAGCGUGAAGGUGAAGAGGAUCUAAACUGUAUCAAAAGAGAGAAGUGAUAGAGUUAAGUACCAAUUUAGAAGCUAAAACAUUUUCUUAGAAUAACAGAAAACAAAACAGAGUACAUCUUAACGAGCUUGAAAAAUGCUUAUACUAACAAGUUAAUGAAGAGAUUUUCGAAGAAGAAAUAUGAAGCAUGUGAAAAGUUUAGAAGGUAUGACACAUAUUGCUUAGAAAAAAAUCAUAAGAAGAUGGAAAGAGACACUGUAAGAAAAAAUGAAACAAAUAAAACGAGUGCUUGCAAAAAGAUAGGAAGAGUGAUAGCUCUCUGUAAAACAUUAU